RNAcentral lists this ribosomal RNA (434 nucleotides) under uncultured Oscillibacter sp. Its description in RNAcentral is "bacterial SSU rRNA". It matches the Rfam family "Bacterial small subunit ribosomal RNA", at positions 341 to 792 of the family's 1533-position model. Lineage: Bacteria; Bacillati; Bacillota; Clostridia; Eubacteriales; Oscillospiraceae. The record is from RNAcentral.
ACGGGAGGCAGCAGUGGGGAAUAUUGGGCAAUGGGGGAAACCCUGACCCAGCAACGCCGCGUGAAGGAAGAAGGCCUUCGGGUUGUAAACUUCUUUUACCAGGGACGAUAAUGACGGUACCUGGAGAAAAAGCAACGGCUAACUACGUGCCAGCAGCCGCGGUAAUACGUAGGUUGCAAGCGUUGUCCGGAUUUACUGGGUGUAAAGGGCGUGUAGGCGGAGCUGCAAGUCAGAUGUGAAAUCCACGGGCUCAACUCGUGAACUGCAUUUGAAACUGCUGAUCUUGAGUAUCGGAGAGGCAAUCGGAAUUCCUUGUGUAGCGGUGAAAUGCGUAGAUAUAAGGAGGAACACCAGUGGCGAAGGCGGAUUGCUGGACGACAACUGACGGUGAGGCGCGAAAGCGUGGGGAGCAAACAGGAUUAGAUACCCUGGUA